AGGGAAUCUUCGGCAAUGGACGAAAGUCUGACCGAGCAACGCCGCGUGAGUGAAGAAGGUUUUCGGAUCGUAAAGCUCUGUUGUAAGAGAAGAACGGGUGUGAGAGUGGAAAGUUCACACUGUGACGGUAUCUUACCAGAAAGGGACGGCUAACUACGUGCCAGCAGCCGCGGUAAUACGUAGGUCCCGAGCGUUGUCCGGAUUUAUUGGGCGUAAAGCGAGCGCAGGCGGUUAGAUAAGUCUGAAGUUAAAGGCUGUGGCUUAACCAUAGUACGCUUUGGAAACUGUUUAACUUGAGUGCAGAAGGGGAGAGUGGAAUUCCAUGUGUAGCGGUGAAAUGCGUAGAUAUAUGGAGGAACACCGGUGGCGAAAGCGGCUCUCUGGCUUGUAACUGACGCUGAGGCUCGAAAGCGUGGGGAGCAAACAGGAUUAGAUACCCUGGUAGUCCACGCCGUAAACGAUGAGUGCUAGGUGUUAGACCCUUUCCGGGGUUUAGUGCCGUAGCUAACGCAUUAAGCACUCCGCCUGGGGAGUACGACCGCAAGGUUG
RNAcentral lists this ribosomal RNA (549 nucleotides) under uncultured bacterium. Its description in RNAcentral is "bacterial SSU rRNA". It matches the Rfam family "Bacterial small subunit ribosomal RNA", at positions 356 to 896 of the family's 1533-position model. The record is from RNAcentral.